CCUACGGGAGGCAGCAGUGGGGGAUAUUGCACAAUGGGGGGAACCCUGAUGCAGCGACGCCGCGUGGGCGAUGGAGUGCUUCGGCAUGUAAAGCCCUAUCAGCAGGGAAGAAAAUGACGGUACCUGACUAAGAAGCCCCGGCUAAAUACGUGCCAGCAGCCGCGGUAAUACGUAUGGGGCAAGCGUUAUCCGGAUUUACUGGGUGUAAAGGGAGCGUAGGCGGCCUGGCAAGCCUGAUGUGAAAUACCGGGGCCCAACCCCGGGGCUGCAUUGGGAACUGCCAGGCUGGAGUGCCGGAGAGGCAGGCGGAAUUCCUAGUGUAGCGGUGAAAUGCGUAGAUAUUAGGAGGAACACCAGUGGCGAAGGCGGCCUGCUGGACGGUGACUGACGCUGAGGCUCGAAAGCGUGGGGAGCAAACAGGAUUAGAUACCCGAGUAGUC
RNAcentral lists this ribosomal RNA (440 nucleotides) under uncultured bacterium. Its description in RNAcentral is "partial 16S ribosomal RNA". It matches the Rfam family "Bacterial small subunit ribosomal RNA", at positions 338 to 795 of the family's 1533-position model. The record is from RNAcentral.